CUCGCGCACAGAAACGUAGAAAGUUUCUCUGGCAAGGGACGGGACUUUCCUAAGAAAAGAUUUUGUGGGGACAUUAGUACUGCAGUUACACUGGACUGCAUAAAUGACGGAACAGUCUUUCAGCAGAGAAGUAACUGAUUGUUUGAUGUACUUUCUGAAACCACCAGCUCCACAUUAUAAGCAAGUUUGCAGUUAGGCAACAGCUGUCCUGGGACAGGAAAAGGAAGCUUUUGACAACAGUCUCCAAAGCAGUCCCGAGUAGUUUAAAACAGAAAGCAGAGAUUCAUCAAGAACAUCUUUGCUAUUACAGUGAAAAAGAGAGUAGAGGAGAUGGACACAAGAGAUGUGGACUGCUGAUGAGAACAAAGCAACUAAUGAAACUUCAAAUCUGAGUUUGCAGAGAUCC
Molecule: long non-coding RNA, 406 nt
Organism: Neopelma chrysocephalum (saffron-crested tyrant-manakin)
Lineage: Eukaryota; Metazoa; Chordata; Aves; Passeriformes; Pipridae
Exons: 5
Source: RefSeq, a predicted model, not a curated record